AUUGAACGCUGGCGGCAGGCCUAACACAUGCAAGUCGAGCGGAUGAAGGGAGCUUGCUCCUGGAUUCAGCGGCGGACAGGUGAGUAAUGCCUAGGAAUCUGCCUGGUAGUGGGGGAUAACGUCCGGAAACGGGCGCUAAUACCGCAUACGUCCUGAGGGAGAAAGUGGGGGAUCUUCGGACCUCACGCUAUCAGAUGAGCCUAGGUCGGAUUAGCUAGUUGGUGGGGUAAAGGCCUACCAAGGCGACGAUCCGUAACUGGUCUGAGAGGAUGAUCAGUCACACUGGAACUGAGACACGGUCCAGACUCCUACGGGAGGCAGCAGUGGGGAAUAUUGGACAAUGGGCGAAAGCCUGAUCCAGCCAUGCCGCGUGUGUGAAGAAGGUCUUCGGAUUGUAAAGCACUUUAAGUUGGGAGGAAGGGCAGUAAGUUAAUACCUUGCUGUUUUGACGUUACCAACAGAAUAAGCAGCGGCUAACUUCGU
Molecule: ribosomal RNA, 483 nt
Filed under: uncultured bacterium
Lineage: Bacteria
Description: partial 16S ribosomal RNA
Rfam family: Bacterial small subunit ribosomal RNA
Source: RNAcentral